GUUAGUUAAUCAUGCUAUCUUGAAAAGAAAAUAAAAAUGUUAAAAGCAGUAAGCCCCAUGUGAGUAUGCUCGUGGCGUAAAACCCAUUCACUGUGGUGGCGUAAAAAUAAAAUAAAUAUAUUAUUGUCCUGUAAAAAUGAAAAUAUAAAAAAUAAAUUUUUGAUCCUACUAAAGAGAGUAAUAUUUAUUAGAGGAAGCUCAACGUGAUAAAGGCUAAGAGAUUUUAUGCUAACACUUAACUAGCUCCACAAAGCUUUGUUGUAUAUUUGAGCUCCACAGAAUUUAAGGAUCAAGGAAGACUAGCAGACAGAGGAUAUCCUAAUCGCUAUCAAGGUGCGGCCAACAUUCAAAUACACCUACGCCACC
This 366-nucleotide long non-coding RNA is filed under the name Sorghum bicolor (sorghum). RNAcentral's name for it is "long non-coding RNA (SBIC_LNC006644)". Lineage: Eukaryota; Viridiplantae; Streptophyta; Magnoliopsida; Poales; Poaceae. The record is from RNAcentral.